ACGGGGAUGGCGAGCGUUACUCGGAUUCAUUGGGUGUAAAGGGCAGGUAGGCGGUUAUGUAAGUUGGGGGUGAAAUCCUAAGGCUUAACCUUAGAACUGCCUUCAAUACUGCAUAGCUUGAGGCUAGAAGAGGAGAGCGGAAUUCCCGGUGUAAGGGUGAAAUCUGUAGAUAUCGGGAGGAACACCAGUGGCGAAAGCGGCUCUCUGGUCUAGAUCUGACGCUAAUCUGCGAAAGCUCGGGGAGCAAACAG
Molecule: ribosomal RNA, 251 nt
Filed under: uncultured prokaryote
Description: partial 16S rRNA
Rfam family: Bacterial small subunit ribosomal RNA
Source: RNAcentral